RNAcentral lists this ribosomal RNA (496 nucleotides) under uncultured bacterium. RNAcentral's name for it is "partial 16S ribosomal RNA". It matches the Rfam family "Bacterial small subunit ribosomal RNA", at positions 28 to 507 of the family's 1533-position model. The record is from RNAcentral.
GAUGAACGCUGGCGGCGUGCCUAAUACAUGCAAGUCGAGCGAACAGACGCGGCUCUUGCUCCUCUGACGUUAGCGGCAGACGGGUGAGUAACACGUGGAUAACCUACCUAUAAGACUGGGAUAACUUCGGGAACCGGAGCUAAUACCGGAUAAUAUAUUGAACCGCAUGGUUCAAUAGUGAAAGACGGUUUUGCUGUCACUUAUACAUGGAUUCGCGCCGCAUUAGCUAGUUUGUAAGCUAACCGCUUACCAAGGCAACGAUGCGUAGCCGACGUGAGAGGGUGGUCGCCGACCUGGGAACUGGAACGCGGACAAUGGUACUGAGAGAGGCAGCAGUAGGGUACCUGCGGCAGUAGGCGAGAGCCUUGCGGAGUGAGGGCGCGUCAGAGAUGAAGGCCUUCCGAGCGUAAUAAUGUGUUAUUAGGGAAGAACCAAUGUGUAAGGAACUAAAGAGGUAUUGACGGUAACUAAUCAGAAAGCAACGGCUAACUACGUG